RNAcentral lists this ribosomal RNA (245 nucleotides) under uncultured Alkaliflexus sp. RNAcentral's name for it is "partial 16S ribosomal RNA". It matches the Rfam family "Bacterial small subunit ribosomal RNA", at positions 524 to 768 of the family's 1533-position model. The record is from RNAcentral. Lineage: Bacteria; Pseudomonadati; Bacteroidota; Bacteroidia; Marinilabiliales; Marinilabiliaceae.
UACGGAGGAUCCGAGCGUUAUCCGGAUUUAUUGGGUUUAAAGGGUGCGUAGGCGGACUGAUAAGUCAGUGGUGAAAUGCUGCAGCUUAACUGUAGAAUUGCCGUUGAUACUGUCAGUCUUGAGUACAGUUGAGGUAGGCGGAAUGUGGUGUGUAGCGGUGAAAUGCAUAGAUAUACCACAGAACACCGAUUGCGAAGGCAGCUUACUAAAGUGUCACUGACGCUGAUGCACGAAAGCGUGGGUAU